This 801-nucleotide ribosomal RNA is filed under the name Streptomyces sp. RNAcentral's name for it is "bacterial SSU rRNA". It matches the Rfam family "Bacterial small subunit ribosomal RNA", at positions 67 to 883 of the family's 1533-position model. The record is from RNAcentral. Lineage: Bacteria; Bacillati; Actinomycetota; Actinomycetes; Kitasatosporales; Streptomycetaceae.
CGAUGAACCACUUCGGUGGGGAUUAGUGGCGAACGGGUGAGUAACACGUGGGCAAUCUGCCCUGCACUCUGGGACAAGCCCUGGAAACGGGGUCUAAUACCGGAUACUGAUCCUCGCAGGCAUCUGCGAGGUUCGAAAGCUCCGGCGGUGCAGGAUGAGCCCGCGGCCUAUCAGCUUGUUGGUGAGGUAACGGCUCACCAAGGCGACGACGGGUAGCCGGCCUGAGAGGGCGACCGGCCACACUGGGACUGAGACACGGCCCAGACUCCUACGGGAGGCAGCAGUGGGGAAUAUUGCACAAUGGGCGAAAGCCUGAUGCAGCGACGCCGCGUGAGGGAUGACGGCCUUCGGGUUGUAAACCUCUUUCAGCAGGGAAGAAGCGAAAGUGACGGUACCUGCAGAAGAAGCGCCGGCUAACUACGUGCCAGCAGCCGCGGUAAUACGUAGGGCGCAAGCGUUGUCCGGAAUUAUUGGGCGUAAAGAGCUCGUAGGCGGCUUGUCACGUCGGUUGUGAAAGCCCGGGGCUUAACCCCGGGUCUGCAGUCGAUACGGGCAGGCUAGAGUUCGGUAGGGGAGAUCGGAAUUCCUGGUGUAGCGGUGAAAUGCGCAGAUAUCAGGAGGAACACCGGUGGCGAAGGCGGAUCUCUGGGCCGAUACUGACGCUGAGGAGCGAAAGCGUGGGAGCGAACAGGAUUAGAUACCCUGGUAGUCCACGCCGUAAACGGUGGGCACUAGGUGUGGGCAACAUUCCACGUUGUCCGUGCCGCAGCUAACGCAUUAAGUGCCCCGCCUGGGGAGUAC